AUUAAUACAUACACUAAUAUAAGUUAAUGACACCCUGUUGUAACUGUUGCUGUCAUUGUUCCGCCCAUCUUUCUCAGGUGCUUCUCCAGCCUUGGGAGGACAGGAGGCAAACAGGUGGUCUCCCUCCAAAAGAACGGUUGUGUUUACCACGGCAUCAUCCAGCAUGAACUCAACCAUGCUCUGGGCUUCUACCAUGAGCAAACCAGGAGUGACAGAGACCAGUAUGUGAAAAUCAACUGGAAUUACAUCAACCCACGAAUGACUCACAACUUCAAGAAACAACGCACCAACAACCUGAACACUCCAUAUGACUACUCUUCUGUGAUGCAUUAUGGGAGGUAAGAAAAUGGGACCCACUGAAUAAAACGUAUUCAUCAAGAGCUGUUUUACCUGUUUACAUUACUAAAUAUAAAUAUGUUUUAUAAAACUUUUACAAAUCACUGUUCAAAUUUCCUUCUGUAGAACUGCUUUCACAGUCCAGAAUGGAAGGGAGACAAUCACUCCAAUUCCAAACCGACGUGUGAAAAUUGGACAGAGACAGGGACUGUCCACCACUGACAUCCUGAGGAUCAACAAACUCUAUGGAUGCUAACCAAACCCAAACUGAUGCUGUCCCAGUCUGGAACCACCACAUCACGUCUUGAUCACAGAACACAAUGUGACAGAUGAAUAUGUACUGUAGAUGUCUUGUGAGCAUCACUACUGUCAUAUUGAUAUUACUGGAAAAUAAAAUGACUGAAAAUAA
Molecule: long non-coding RNA, 745 nt
Organism: Clupea harengus (Atlantic herring)
Lineage: Eukaryota; Metazoa; Chordata; Actinopteri; Clupeiformes; Clupeidae
Exons: 3
Source: RefSeq, a predicted model, not a curated record